UUGUCUGUUUAUAAUCCAAACUGUUAAUCUCCUUUUAGGAAACCUGUCAUUGAAGUGUGAUAUGAUGUUUGGUCUUCUCCAGUGAAUGGCACAUAUUCUAGUUAUAAGAGUCUCAAAAGGAGUCUGUGUUCAGACAGAAGAACAAAGCAGAGGGCUUCUGCAUCCCUUCAUAUUGAUGUCCACUGUAAGUUUUCUAUUUCUGCUGCUAAUCAAAUAGAACUGUGAUAGCUCGUUCUCCAGGGGUCU
This 246-nucleotide long non-coding RNA is filed under the name Fukomys damarensis (Damara mole-rat). RNAcentral's name for it is "lncRNA (ENSFDAG00000021821.1)". The record is from RNAcentral. Lineage: Eukaryota; Metazoa; Chordata; Mammalia; Rodentia; Bathyergidae.